RNAcentral lists this ribosomal RNA (360 nucleotides) under Triticum aestivum (bread wheat). RNAcentral's name for it is "partial small subunit ribosomal RNA". The record is from RNAcentral. Lineage: Eukaryota; Viridiplantae; Streptophyta; Magnoliopsida; Poales; Poaceae.
AUGGAUUUGGUAUCUGCCCCCAUCGGCCCUCGUCCUGUCUAUGAUUCAGAUGUGGAGGUAUAUGAACCAGAAAUUCCAACCGAACCUCUUGUCAAGAGGUUAAAUUUAGUUGAAAAAGAAAACGAUUACUUGAAGAAAAAAUUGAAAAGAAUUGAGGAGGAGAAGAUGGCAUUGGAGUUGCAUGUUGCGGAUAUCGUCGAUGAUCACAAGAUCAAGAUGGAUAAAAUACAUUUGAAGAUUAGAAAGACUAAAAAAUAUGCCAUUCAUACUCAGGCUUGGUAUCAUUAUACCGUUGGAUCAAUUGUUACCUUAGUUGCAAUUAUGAUUGCAUAUGUUGUUGCAUUGAAAUGUUUUACAUAG